Long non-coding RNA from Octopus sinensis (East Asian common octopus), 99 nucleotides. RefSeq lists it as uncharacterized. The transcript has 3 exons. The record is from RefSeq and is a predicted model, not a curated record. NCBI's taxonomy places the organism in Eukaryota, Metazoa, Mollusca, Cephalopoda, Octopoda, Octopodidae.
UGAUGAUGAUAAAAGCCUGAUUUAGUUAAUUGUUGUAACCCGAUGUUAGGAGUUUUUCUUUUCCAACAGUCUAAUCUGUUGAGUGUAUAGGAAUAAUAA